AGCGCAGGCGGGAUAUCAAGUCUUUCUUAAAAGUGCGGGGCUCAACCCCGUGAUGGGAAGGAAACUGGUAUUCUUGAGUGCAGGAGAGGAAAGCGGAAUUCCUAAUGUAGCGGUGAAAUGCGUAGAUAUUAGGAGGAACACCAGUGGCGAAGGCGGCUUUCUGGACUGUAACUGACGCUGAGGCUCGAAAGCCAGGGGAGCGAACG
RNAcentral lists this ribosomal RNA (206 nucleotides) under uncultured bacterium. RNAcentral describes it as "partial 16S ribosomal RNA". It matches the Rfam family "Bacterial small subunit ribosomal RNA", at positions 568 to 774 of the family's 1533-position model. The record is from RNAcentral.